AAGUCAUUUUCAUUUUACAAAGAAAAAAAAAACCAAAUUCAUUUUCUCUAUCAUCGUCUUCAUUGUUUAUUUGAAUCAAUCUGUCCAUUCCGAUCGAAGAAAAACAUAUGGAUUGGUCUUGUUCAAAGUCGAACUCAGGAACCCUAAUCUCUCAAGCCGCUGGACUCUUCUUCUUCGUCAUACCCAAACUCCUCCAUACACGGCGAAUUGGCUCCUUCACCUUCCUCCGCUGCUUUUCACCACCAUCACAUUUGCCGCUUCUUCUUCAUAUUCUCUUUGUUUUAUCAAUCUCAAUUGCACAGAAGUCAAAACUCUAGAGGUCAUCGACCUAUAUCCUUGGACAAGGUAUGGCUCAGCGUGAAGACGUUUAUGACCUAGAUAGCCACUAGAUUCCAGGUUUUCUUCUACUCCAAAGCUCUAGUUUCAAUUGGGUCUAUAAAAAUCUCCCUUUUUUGUUGUUUAGUCACACUUGUUCAGUUUUCACGAGUUUCUUUUGUUCGAUUUCGCUGACAAAACCCCCUUGCUUUUGUUCAAUCGAUUUCGGCAUUACUGUUUAUGUUCAUUUCUAUUAAAAAUCUCUCCUUUCUGUUGUUUCCUCUUGACAAAACUCCACCUUGAUUUUGUUCACUUACUUUUGUAUUUGUUUACGGUAUGACCAGAACUGGAUUGUUUAUGUUGGAUUAGCAGAAAAAGGUUUGUCUUUUUGGUGUGUGAUUCUGAUUGUUUCUCUUUUAUUGAUUUAUGCAACUAGGAACUGAGUUCUUAUAUGAAUUUUCUGUGAAAAGUUUUACUAUUUUAAUGAUGCCUCAAGGAGUUGUACCAGUUCAGGGAUGGACCCCUACACCGUAAGUUGUGUCAUAAGGGUCGGCUCGGCUCAGUUUCUCCUUCAGGUACCGGAACUGAUCACAACAACUACAGAAACUUGCAGCAAAACGAGUCAGGCUAAUCUGUCCUCUUGGCGGGAUCUAUGCAUUGUUCUUCCUUGAAGGUUUGAAAGUCAUCACACGAGAAGAUGAGAACGGAAACGUCAAACUUGAGUGUCCCGCCAUUAGUAAACAACAGUUUGCAGCUGGGAGAUUUCACAUUGACUCACGGAUGACAGCUACUAAAGAUGCUGAUCGCAUUGCUAGGCUUGAUGUUAUUCGUAUUAUCUAUCAAUGAGCCUACUGCUACUUCUGUGGUUUAUGCUUUUGAAAGGAAAAGCAAUUAAAUAAUUCUUGUCUUUGAUCUUGGUGGUGGUACCUUUGAUGUCUCUGGUACUCAAUUGCAAUGUAUCUCAAAUGGUGACAAAAAGAAAAAGAAAAAAUAUCUAAUUUGGGGUAUAUGAUUAAAUUGCAAUGUA
Brassica napus (rape) is the source of this 1342-nucleotide long non-coding RNA. RefSeq lists it as uncharacterized. The record is from RefSeq and is a predicted model, not a curated record. NCBI's taxonomy places the organism in Eukaryota, Viridiplantae, Streptophyta, Magnoliopsida, Brassicales, Brassicaceae. The transcript has 2 exons.